Chenopodium quinoa (quinoa) is the source of this 1197-nucleotide long non-coding RNA. RefSeq lists it as uncharacterized. The record is from RefSeq and is a predicted model, not a curated record. The transcript has 3 exons. Lineage: Eukaryota; Viridiplantae; Streptophyta; Magnoliopsida; Caryophyllales; Amaranthaceae.
UGGUCAACCCUUGACUUCUAUUUCCCUCCAAAUGAAGUCUACGUGGCAUUAAUUACCCAAACACCCAUUAAUUUCACUCUCUCUUUGCCUCUCCCAGUCUCUCUCAUCCCUCUUUGAAUUUUCCUAUUAAGGCAAUUCAUGUAAACACGUUUUAACCACAAAAUUGCUCAGAGUCAUUAAAUUGCGCAUGCAAUUGGAGUGUUCCGGAGAUUAUUGGAGCGAUUGUUGGUGAGCAAAAGCAAAGUUGGUAUUUAAAGAAGUUCGAGCCGAAAUUAUGGUACUGAGGUAAGUCUUUGUUACUUUAAUUUGGGAUUUGUUGGUGGGAUUGUAGUGGGAUUAUGCUUAAGGACCAAUUGAAGUGCGAUAUUGCUUAAAGAUUGAUUUUUUUUUUUGUUAAAUUUGUGUAGUUAGAUGAAGUACUUGUUGUUAUUGUUGUUUUUGUUUGUAAUUUUAGCCUAAAAUUUGAGUAAUUUAGGGCUGAUAGCUAUGUUUUAUGUUGAUUUUAAUAAUUUGAAUCAUAUUGAUAUAGUUGGUUGAUGUGUGUUUUUGUUGGAAGUGAAAAGUGAAGUGUGUAUUUGUAUAUGCUUAGGUAAUUAUGUCUGCGGUUUUUUGUACGGUUAGUAUAAAAGUUUGGCAUGGUGGUUCCUUCAAGCAUGUUAACAAUGGGGAAAUGGUAGGGGUGGGAGGGUGAUCUUAGGAGGCCAAGGUGCAAGAGGUGUAACCCAAGCAGCUGCUAGAAAAGGUGUGUUUCUUAGCCAACCUACUGCAUCAGGUCAAGGAACACAGAGAACAAAAGGGAGAGGAACUGGACGAGGCAAUGGCAGAGGCAGGACUAAGGUCCCAAUAGGAGUUGGAGUGUUGUUUAGUUCAGAUGGGACACCACUUUCACAGGGGGCUAACACUAGAGGAGGGGAUAGAAGAAAGGGAAGAGGUCGUGGAAGAGGAUCACAGUCCACCCAAUAACUGCAAUCUGACCUUCACUUGUGCCUUUUGUUUAUGAACUUUGUGAACAAAAUCUAAGACCUUUAUUUAGUUUAAUGCCUUGCCAGCAUUUUGUCUGUAAUGAAGUACUAACCACUAUGCUUAUUUUGCAUGAACAAUUAUCAUUUUGUUUCACAAAGUACUGGUGGAUGUACUAAACUGAAGUUGUUUUGCAAUGCAAUGUACACUUUAUGCUGUUAUGUUAUGCUCGCAAAA